RNAcentral lists this ribosomal RNA (253 nucleotides) under uncultured bacterium. Its description in RNAcentral is "partial 16S ribosomal RNA". It matches the Rfam family "Bacterial small subunit ribosomal RNA", at positions 524 to 776 of the family's 1533-position model. The record is from RNAcentral.
UACGAAGGGUGCAAGCGUUACUCGGAAUUACUGGGCGUAAAGCGUGCGUAGGUGGUUUGUUAAGUCUGAUGUGAAAGCCCUGGGCUCAACCCGGGAACGGCAUUGGAAACUGGCUUACUAGAGUGCGGUAGAGGGGUGUGGAAUUCCCGGUGUAGCAGUGAAAUGCGUAGAUAUCGGGAGGAACAUCUGUGGCGAAGGCGACACCCUGGACCAGCACUGACACUGAGGCACGAAAGCGUGGGGAGCAAACAGG